Molecule: long non-coding RNA, 512 nt
Filed under: Eucalyptus grandis
Lineage: Eukaryota; Viridiplantae; Streptophyta; Magnoliopsida; Myrtales; Myrtaceae
Description: long non-coding RNA (EGRA_LNC005759)
Source: RNAcentral
UAGCACGGACACGUUCAAAGGGCCUCCGUGUCGUGUCGGACACCCCGACACGUGUCCGACACGCUCGGACACGCGGUCAACACGUGUCGGAGUUUCUGACACGUGGUCAACUCUUUCCGACACGCGCGUCGGAGCAUGUCCGGAGGUUUGUGGGCGGAUCCGCAGGUGCGAAGGGAAGAAAGUGAUGGAGGGUGAAAGCAAGGGUGAGGGAGCUAAGGCGACGCCGCAAGCGACGACAAGGGAGGGCUCCGACCGCCGACUGCAACACUGAGAAGCCUUCUCGAUCGUCUUGGUUGGCUGCAACCGUCGACUGCAACGCCAAGAUGGAAAACGGAAAGGCCAUGAUGGAGGGCUGGAUGCGAGGCUACGACGGGCCGACGGCAAAGAGGGUAACUGAGGCAAGGCAUCGGUGAGAGAGGUGGAGGCCGAGCGAGGGAGAGGAGAAAGAAGGCAAUCGCCGAUUGUUAGGGUUUUCAAUUUUUGGAAGAAUAGCAAGGGGAGAGAGGAUGUGU